Molecule: ribosomal RNA, 262 nt
Filed under: uncultured bacterium
Lineage: Bacteria
Description: partial 16S ribosomal RNA
Rfam family: Bacterial small subunit ribosomal RNA
Source: RNAcentral
UUAGUGGCGGACGGGUGAGUAACGCGUGGAAAACCUGCCGUAUACUGGGGGAUAACACUUAGAAAUAGGUGCUAAUACCGCAUAAGCGCACAGCUUCGCAUGAAGCGGUGUGAAAAACUCUGGUGGUAUACGAUGGUUCCGCGUCCGAUUAGCUAGUUGGUGGGGUAAUGGCCUACCAAGGCAACGGUCAGUAGCCGGCCUGAGAGGGUGAACGGCCACAUUGGGACUGAGACACGGCCCAAACUCCUACGGAAGGCAGCAG